CGGGUGAGUAACACGUGGGUAACCUGCCCAUCAGAAGGGGAUAACACUUGGAAACAGGUGCUAAUACCGUAUAACACUAUUUUCCGCAUGGAAGAAAGUUGAAAGGCGCUUUUGCGUCACUGAUGGAUGGACCCGCGGUGCAUUAGCUAGUUGGUGAGGUAACGGCUCACCAAGGCCACGAUGCAUAGCCGACCUGAGAGGGUGAUCGGCCACACUGGGACUGAGACACGGCCCAGACUCCUACGGGAGGCAGCAGUAGGGAAUCUUCGGCAAUGGACGAAAGUCUGACCGAGCAACGCCGCGUGAGUGAAGAAGGUUUUCGGAUCGUAAAACUCUGUUGUUAGAGAAGAACAAGGAUGAGAGUAAAAUGUUCAUCCCUUGACGGUAUCUAACCAGAAAGCCACGGCUAACUACGUGCCAGCAGCCGCGGUAAUACGUAGGUGGCAAGCGUUGUCCGGAUUUAUUGGGCGUAAAGCGAGCGCAGGCGGUUUCUUAAGUCUGAUGUGAAAGCCCCCGGCUCAACCGGGGAGGGUCAUUGGGAACUGGGAGACUUGAGUGCAGAAGAGGAGAGUGGAAUUCCAUAUGUAGCGGUGAAAUGCGUAGAUAUAUGGAGGAACACCAGUGGCGAAGGCGGCUCUCUGGUCUGUAACUGACGCUGAGGCUCGAAAGCGUGGGGAGCGAACAGGAUUAGAUACCCUGGUAGUCCACGCCGUAAACGAUGAGUGCUAAGUGUUGGAGGGUUUCCGCCCUUCAGU
RNAcentral lists this ribosomal RNA (755 nucleotides) under uncultured bacterium. Its description in RNAcentral is "bacterial SSU rRNA". It matches the Rfam family "Bacterial small subunit ribosomal RNA", at positions 103 to 844 of the family's 1533-position model. The record is from RNAcentral.